Molecule: ribosomal RNA, 494 nt
Filed under: uncultured bacterium
Lineage: Bacteria
Description: partial 16S ribosomal RNA
Rfam family: Bacterial small subunit ribosomal RNA
Source: RNAcentral
AUGAACGCUGGCGGCGUGCCUAAUACAUGCAAGUAGAACGCUGAAGGAGGAGCUUGCUCUUCUGGAUGAGUUGCGAACGGGUGAGUAACGCGUAGGUAACCUGCCUGGUAGCGGGGGAUAACUAUUGGAAACGAUAGCUAAUACCGCAUGACAACAGUUUUUUCAUGAUAACUGUUUAAAAGGUGCAACUGCUCCACUACCAGAUGGACCUGCGUUGUAUUAGCUAGUUGGUGAGGUAACGGCUCACCAAGGCGACGAUACAUAGCCGACCUGAGAGGGUGAUCGGCCACACUGGGACUGAGACACGGCCCAGACUCCUACGGGAGGCAGCAGUAGGGAAUCUUCGGCAAUGGACGGAAGUCUGACCGAGCAACGCCGCGUGAGUGAAGAAGGUUUUCGGAUCGUAAAGCUCUGUUGUAAGAGAAGAACGAGUGUGAGAGUGGAAAGUUCACACUGUGACGGUAUCUUACCAGAAAGGGACGGCUAACUACGUG